This 275-nucleotide long non-coding RNA is filed under the name Phoenix dactylifera (date palm). Its description in RNAcentral is "long non-coding RNA (PDAC_LNC011029)". Lineage: Eukaryota; Viridiplantae; Streptophyta; Magnoliopsida; Arecales; Arecaceae. The record is from RNAcentral.
CUCACACGCAAUCAAUCGCCAAGCUAGAAUCCCAAAUGGGGCAACUAGCUAAUGCACUGAACAAGCAAGAGGAAGGAAAUCUUCCAAGCUAACCACUAAGUAAUCCUAGGGGACAAUACAUGGCUCAAGAAAAUCAACUAAAUACAAUUCAUCAUGAACAAGCCAAUGCUUUGACUACCCUACGGAGUGGACGUGUAGUAGACAAUAAGAUUGGGGAGGAUAACAAUAAGGAAGGUGAAGAAGAGGAUAGAAAUGUGUCAAAUGAAAAUCUAAAA